UAGGGAAUCUUCCACAAUGGACGCAAGUCUGAUGGAGCAACGCCGCGUGAGUGAAGAAGGUUUUCGGAUCGUAAAGCUCUGUUGUUAGUGAAGAAGGAUAGAGGCAGUAACUGUUCUUUAUUUGACGGUAAUUAACCAGAAAGUCCCGGCUAACUACGUGCCAGCAGCCGCGGUAAUACGUAGGUGGCAAGCGUUAUCCGGAUUUAUUGGGCGUAAAGCGAGCGCAGGCGGUAUGAUAAGUCUGAUGUGAAAGCCCACGGCUCAACCGGGGAACUGCAGCGGAAACUGUCAGGCUUGAGUGCAGAAGAGGAGAGUGGAAUUCCAUGUGUAGCGGUGGAAUGAGUAGAGAUAUGGAAGAACACCAGUGGCGAAGGCGGCUAUCUGGUCUGCAACUGACGCUGAGGCUCGAAAGCAUGGGUAGCGAACAGG
This 429-nucleotide ribosomal RNA is filed under the name bacterium. Its description in RNAcentral is "partial 16S ribosomal RNA". It matches the Rfam family "Bacterial small subunit ribosomal RNA", at positions 355 to 776 of the family's 1533-position model. The record is from RNAcentral.